GAUGAACGCUGGCGGCGUGCCUAAUACAUGCAAGUCGAGCGAACAGACGAGGAGCUUGCUCCUCUGACGUUAGCGGCGGACGGGUGAGUAACACGUGGAUAACCUACCUAUAAGACUGGGAUAACUUCGGGAAACCGGAGCUAAUACCGGAUAAUAUAUUGAACCGCAUGGUUCAAUAGUGAAAGACGGUUUUGCUGUCACUUAUAGAUGGAUCCGCGCCGCAUUAGCUAGUUGGUAAGGUAACGGCUUACCAAGGCGACGAUGCGUAGCCGACCUGAUAGGGUGAUCGGCCACAUUGGAGCUGAGACACGGUCCAGACUCCUACGGGAGGCAGCAGUAGGGAAUCUGCCGCAAUGGGCGAAAGCCUGACGGAGCAACGCCGCGUGAGUGAUGAAGGUCUUCGGAUCGUAAAACUCUGUUAUUAGGGAAGAACAAAUGUGUAAGUAACUAUGCACGUCUUGACGGUACCUAAUCAGAAAGCCACGGCUAACUACGUG
This 497-nucleotide ribosomal RNA is filed under the name uncultured bacterium. RNAcentral's name for it is "partial 16S ribosomal RNA". It matches the Rfam family "Bacterial small subunit ribosomal RNA", at positions 28 to 507 of the family's 1533-position model. The record is from RNAcentral.